AUUGAACGCUGGCGGCAGGCCUAACACAUGCAAGUCGAGCGGAUGAAGGGAGCUUGCUCCUGGAUUCAGCGGCGGACGGGUGAGUAAUGCCUAGGAAUCUGCCUGGUAGUGGGGGAUAACGUCCGGAAACGGGCGCUAAUACCGCAUACGUCCUGAGGGAGAAAGUGGGGGAUCUUCGGACCUCACGCUAUCAGAUGAGCCUAGGUCGGAUUAGCUAGUUGGUGGGGUAAAGGCCUACCAAGGCGACGAUCCGUAACCGGUCUGAGAGGAUGAUAAGUCACACUGGAACUGAGACACGGUCCACACUCCUACGGGAGGCAGCAGUGGGGAAUAUUGGACACUGGGCGAAAGCCUGAUCCAGCCAUGCAGCGUGUGUGAAGAAGGUCUUCGGAUUGUAAAGCACUUUAAGUUGGGAGGAAGGGCAGUAAGUUAAUACCUUGCUGUUUUGACGUUACCAACAGAAUAAGCACCGGCUAACUUCGUG
This 484-nucleotide ribosomal RNA is filed under the name uncultured bacterium. RNAcentral describes it as "partial 16S ribosomal RNA". It matches the Rfam family "Bacterial small subunit ribosomal RNA", at positions 30 to 507 of the family's 1533-position model. The record is from RNAcentral.